UACAGAGGUGGCAAGCGUUGUUCGGAAUUACUGGGCGUAAAGGGCGCGUAGGCGGUUUCGUAAGUCCCGUGUGAAAGCCCCCGGCUCAACUGGGGAAUUGCACGGGAAACUGCGAGGCUUGAGUUCGGGAGAGGGAAGCGGAAUUCCGGGUGUAGCGGUGAAAUACGUAGAUAUCUGGAGGAACACCGGUGGCGAAGGCGGCGAUCUGGCCCAACACUGACACUGAGACCCGAAAGCAUGGGGAUCAAACAGG
This 253-nucleotide ribosomal RNA is filed under the name uncultured bacterium. RNAcentral's name for it is "partial 16S ribosomal RNA". It matches the Rfam family "Bacterial small subunit ribosomal RNA", at positions 524 to 776 of the family's 1533-position model. The record is from RNAcentral.